This is a non-coding RNA of Streptococcus lutetiensis 033, 128 nucleotides long. The record is from Rfam. Lineage: Bacteria; Bacillati; Bacillota; Bacilli; Lactobacillales; Streptococcaceae.
UGAAAACGUUUUACAAUAAUAUCGUUCUUAAAAUUUCCUUGGAACGGAAAAGAAUUGUCGGACUUGUCCGGAAGGAGAUUAUUCUUUUUUGUUUCAACGAAAAAUAAUCAUAAGGAGGAAGAACAAGA